ACUCUAGCUGGACAGUUUUAACUGCAAUUCCCAGGUUGAGCCCGGGGCUUUCACAUCUGACUUAUACGACCGCCUGCGCGCGCUUUACGCCCAGUAAUUCCGAUUAACGCUUGCACCCUUCGUAUUACCGCGGCUGCUGGCACGAAGUUAGCCGGUGCUUAUUCUUUGGGUAACGUCAUCCCAACCGGGUAUUAGCCAGCUGGAUUUCCUUC
RNAcentral lists this ribosomal RNA (212 nucleotides) under Stenotrophomonas pavanii. RNAcentral describes it as "partial 16S rRNA". The record is from RNAcentral. Lineage: Bacteria; Pseudomonadati; Pseudomonadota; Gammaproteobacteria; Lysobacterales; Lysobacteraceae.